UUCAGUGGCGAUGGCUAUGAGGAUCCACCUGUUCCCAUCUCGAACACAGUAGUUAAGCUCAUAAACG
RNAcentral lists this ribosomal RNA (67 nucleotides) under Veillonella parvula. The record is from RNAcentral. Lineage: Bacteria; Bacillati; Bacillota; Negativicutes; Veillonellales; Veillonellaceae.